This 75-nucleotide transfer RNA is filed under the name Escherichia phage TrudiGerster. RNAcentral's name for it is "tRNA-Gln". It matches the Rfam family "tRNA". From Rfam's summary of the family: Transfer RNA (tRNA) molecules are approximately 80 nucleotides in length. Their secondary structure includes four short double-helical elements and three loops (D, anti-codon, and T loops). Further hydrogen bonds mediate the characteristic L-shaped molecular structure. tRNAs have two regions of fundamental functional importance: the anti-codon, which is responsible for specific mRNA codon recognition, and the 3' end, to which the tRNAs corresponding amino acid is attached (by aminoacyl-tRNA synthetases). tRNAs cope with the degeneracy of the genetic code in two manners: having more than one tRNA (with a specific anti-codon) for a particular amino acid; and 'wobble' base-pairing, i.e. permitting non-standard base-pairing at the 3rd anti-codon position. Lineage: Duplodnaviria; Heunggongvirae; Uroviricota; Caudoviricetes; Demerecviridae. The record is from RNAcentral.
GGAGAAUAGUGUAGUGGUUCGCACAACGGCCUUUGACUCCGUUAGUGGUAGGUUCAAUUCCUCCUUCUCCUGCCA